AAGUUGUUGCGGUUAAAAAGCUCGUAGUUGGAUUUUGGGCGCAGGCGGCCGGUCCGUCGCAAGGCGUGUACUGGCCGUCCUGGCCUCACCUCCGGUUCUCCGCCGGUGCCCUUGACUGAGUGUCGGCGGCGGCCGGAACGUUUACUUUGAAAAAAUUAGAGUGUUCAAAGCAGGCGAUUCGCCUGAAUAAUGGUGCAUGGAAUAAUGGAAUAGGACCUCGGUUCUAUUUUGUUGGUUUUCGGAGCGCGAGGUAAUGAUUAAGAGGGACAGACGGGGGCAUUCGUACUGUGCCGUUAGAGGUGAAAUUCUUGGAUCGGCGCAAGACGAACGACUGCGAAAGCAUUUGCCAAGAAUGUUUUCUUUAAUCAAGAGCGAAAGUCAGAGGUUCGAAGACGAUCAGAUACCGUCCUAGUUCUGACUAUAAACGAUGCCAACUAGCGAUCGGGGGGCGUUAGUUUUACGACCUCUCCGGCAGCUUGCGGGAAACCAAAGUCUUUGGGUUCCGGGGGAAGUAUGGUUGCAAAGCUGAAACUUAAAGGAAUUGACGGAAGGGCACCACCAGGAGUGGAGCCUGCGGCUUAAUUUGACUCAACACGGGAAAUCUCACCCGGCCCGGACACAGUGAGGAUUGACAGAUUGAGAGCUCUUUCUUGAUUCUGUGGGUGGUGGUGCAUGGCCGUUCUUAGUUGGUGGAGCGAUUUGUCUGGUUAAUUCCGAUAACGAACGAGACUCUGGCUUGCUAACUAGUUACGCGACCCAAUCGGUCGGCGUCUAACUUCUUAGAGGGACUAGUGGCGUUUAGCCACACGAGAUUGAGCAAUAACAGGUCUGUGAUGCCCUUAGAUGUUCGGGGCCGCACGCGCGCUACACUGACCGGAUCAGCAUGUGCUCGCCUUGGCCGACAGGUCUGGGUAACCCGCUGAACCCCGGUCGUGCUAGGGAUAGGGAAUUGCAAU
This 956-nucleotide ribosomal RNA is filed under the name Ascidiella aspersa. RNAcentral describes it as "SSU rRNA". It matches the Rfam family "Eukaryotic small subunit ribosomal RNA", at positions 607 to 1590 of the family's 1831-position model. The record is from RNAcentral. Lineage: Eukaryota; Metazoa; Chordata; Ascidiacea; Phlebobranchia; Ascidiidae.